CAGCAGCCACGGUAAUACGAACCGUGCGAACGUUAUUCGGAAUCACUGGGCUUAAAGCGCGUGUAGGCGGGCCGCCGCGUCGGCUGCUGAAAUCCCCCGGCUCAACCGGGGAACGGGCACCGAUACGGGCGGCCUCGAGGGGGGUAGGGGGGCCUGGAACUUCCGGUGGAGCGGUGAAAUGCGUUGAGAUCGGAAGGAACGCCCGUGGCGAAAGCGAGGCCCUGGACCCUUUCUGACGCUGAGACGCGAAAGCCAGGGGAGCGAACGGGAUUAGAUACCCCCGUAGUCCCUGUCUCUUAUA
This 301-nucleotide ribosomal RNA is filed under the name uncultured bacterium. Its description in RNAcentral is "partial 16S ribosomal RNA". It matches the Rfam family "Bacterial small subunit ribosomal RNA", at positions 509 to 807 of the family's 1533-position model. The record is from RNAcentral.